RNAcentral lists this non-coding RNA (23 nucleotides) under Rattus norvegicus (Norway rat). The record is from RNAcentral. Lineage: Eukaryota; Metazoa; Chordata; Mammalia; Rodentia; Muridae.
AAGAAUAUGGUCAGCUACAAGUG